RNAcentral lists this ribosomal RNA (484 nucleotides) under uncultured bacterium. RNAcentral's name for it is "partial 16S ribosomal RNA". It matches the Rfam family "Bacterial small subunit ribosomal RNA", at positions 30 to 507 of the family's 1533-position model. The record is from RNAcentral.
AUUGAACGCUGGCGGCAGGCCUAACACAUGCAAGUCGAGCGGAUGAAGGGAGCUUGCUCCUGGAUUCAGCGGCGGACGGGUGAGUAAUGCCUAGGAAUCUGCCUGGUAGUGGGGGAUAACGUCCGGAAACGGGCGCUAAUACCGCAUACGUCCUGAGGGAGAAAGUGGGGGAUCUUCGGACCUCACGCUAUCAGAUGGGCCUAGGUCGGAUUAGCUAGUUGGUGGGGUAAAGGCCUACCAAGGCGACGAUCCGUAACUGGUCUGAGAGGAUGAUCAGUCACACUGGAACUGCGACACGGUCCAGACUCCUACGGGAGGCAGCAGUGGGGAAUAUUGGACAAUGGGCGAAGGCCUGAUCCAGCCAUGCCGCGUGUGUGAAGAAGGUCUUCGGAUUGUAAAGCACUUUAAGUUGGGAGGAAGGGCAGUAAGUUAAUACCUUGCUGUUUUGACGUUACCAACAGAAUAAGCACCGGCUAACUUCGUG